GAGGACUGAUUCCCUAUAUAAAAUCUGAGGUUUCUUUUACAAUGAGAAAUGCUAAAGAUAAGUAAUAAUCGUAAAGGGGAUAGGAAAAACGUUAGCUGAAAAUAUGAGAAAGCAUGUUGAAUGUGACCUGGCCAGGACUGACCCUCGACUGAAUCGGUUUGGGGGUGGAAACUGCGAGUGAAAGGAGGACAUUAAAUAUGUUAGACCACAGAACAGUCACUAAGUGUUGCAUCAUGGAGUAAGUUUUGCCAAGUGGUAACUGGACGGUUCACUAGUUGAGCUGAGAAAAGACAUCAUUAAUUCACUCACUCAUUGUAGGUUAUUGAAUGAAUACAUAGAUGUAUGAAAUGAAUGAAAGAAUAAACAAAUGAAGAACUUUCUAAGCGCUCAGCACUAUACCUGGCAUAUACAGCUGUUGUGGGGAUUAGAAAAGAUAUUAGAAAGGAAAGAAGACACAAAAUGAAUGAAUGAAUGAAGUGUUUACAAACCCAAGUCAAAGUAUUGCAUUUGAAGGGAUAAGCUGCAUACAAAUGUAAAAGCUGCAAAGGAGAAUGAGAAUCUGAUCUGGAGAAAGAACAUUGAACUGAGAUUCCAUAUACCUGGGAUAUUACUCCAUCCAUGACACUCACUAGCCACGAGGCUAUAAAGGUGUAAUUUUACCUGUCAGCACUUUUAGACUUAAUGAUCUGUGACAACAGCUCUUACUCUAAGAUACUAUAAACCUUGACAGAAAACAAAAGCUAACCAGUAACCUAAGUCUUUCUCUGUGUAUUGAAGGAGUUAAUUCAGAUACUAAAGAAGUUUUAUUAUAUACAUAUCUCUUUCCUAACUGAGGCUGGGAGGAACUAGCCCCAGUAAUUCUAAGCAACAGUUUUAAAGACAUAAGAAAAAAGAAUAUUGGCUCAGAAACAAAAUACAAAGGACACUGGUUGUGAAACAAACCACAUGAAGUAAGAGGAAAUGCUUUUUUUAUGAGAAGAUCCAAGCCAACCUCCUCAAGAAGAAAAAAAAAAAAAAACUAUCAUUAUAUCCAGACAAAUUAAAAGUCCAUUCCAAUGCAAAGCAGUUUCAUUUAAGGCAAGUCAAAUAGUGCAAAGGUCUUGCUGAGUUGGACCUAGAAGCUCCACACUUAAAACAGAGAGGCAUUUUAACUUCUUGUAUGGUUUUACUCUUGCCAGUUACCAAUUUUUUGUUAAUUGCCUUUGGUUGUCCUUCUUGCCCAAUGUUGGAAGAUUUUCUUGGAAUGGAAGAACAGUGAUGCUGGAUGUAAGAACGUUGUCUGUGCUGUCCAUGUUAGGGAGAGCCAGGAACAAUACAAGUCAAAUUUCAUGUGAAUGUAGGAACCACCGUCAUGCUGGCUUCACCAAGACCAGAAUGUAAUCUGGGGAACACACAUUUCGCUUGGCAAAAUCUCUUGUAACCAAGUAAACUGUUUGUCUCUUUAGUGGCCCAAGUUUGUUAACUCAUACUCUAUUAUCCACUGUUAGCAUGACUCAGUUAUACCCCACGCCCUUUUUCUGUGUGAUUUUCAAAUCCUGCAAACCAGUAUGUUGUCUCAUACCUCUGGAUCAGAUAUUUUCGAGAGAGUAUUAAAACACACCACUGUUGUGUAAAUCAGAGCAUUUAUACAAGGCUAUCAAGUAGGUUGCUGGCCAGCCUACAGAUUGCUCACACUUAAUUAGGGCUCCACCCUGGUUCUAUCAUCUUUGGCCAGAGUAGAAUGGUCAAAUGAAUCAACAUUGAUAUUUACAAAAGAAACCCCUUGGAAGAAUAUUUUGGGUGAGGCCGGCACUUGGAGAUUAGGCCUGUCCGAGGCAGAAUCACAAGGCCCAUUAUGAUAAUUGGGGUAGCUUUCCUUAUAUUUAAACUGGAAGAAGCCACAGCACCUCCAGAUACCUCUGAACGUAUCUUCAGUAUCAGCAGCCACUUGAAUGACCCACUUAGUUGUAUUGACAACAUAAGGCCACUUUUCAACGAACUUUCUGCAUCAGUCAGCUGUGUUGCUUAGAUUUCUGUUAUUAGUUAGCUAAGUUAUGCUGUAGUAACAAUGGUCCCCACAAUCUUAGUGGCUUACAAAGGGUUACUGCUCUCUCAUGUGUGUACACUGUAAUGGAUUUUGGUUCUGCUCCACAUUGUCUCUACCUUGGGACCCACGCUGGCUAAAAGGUCUCUGUCUCUGAAGGGUGACUACACAUCUCAAGUUUAUCCAACACAGUGCUAGUUGAUGCCCAUUGUUGCAGAGCAAUUAUUAAUAAAUAGCAUAUCUUUUCACUCUCA
This is a non-coding RNA of Macaca mulatta (Rhesus monkey), 2277 nucleotides long. NCBI's taxonomy places the organism in Eukaryota, Metazoa, Chordata, Mammalia, Primates, Cercopithecidae. The record is from RefSeq and is a predicted model, not a curated record.